GAAAGAACUCUGAUUGCCCUGACUGUGGUCAUUAGCCAUUCUCCUAACUAUCACUAGGGUCAGAGGAGUGCAGACAGACAGCGCUUACUCAGAGGGGGACGGGAUGAGGAACAAUACUCCUAAAAGAAGGUGGCUGCAUUUCCACCGAGAAGCGGACAAGUUCCAGGCAGACACCACAAUGAACAUCCACCAAGAGAAACCCGAUUUAACACAACAGUGGAUGCCAUGGCACUGUGAUAAUUACAGUUGCUUCUGCAAGCUAUUUAUAUGCCUUCCUCCCUGGUUACAUUUCUGGAAUCUUGGAAACAGAGACAAUGCCUUUGUUAUGGUCCUUUCUCCUAUGCUAGCAGAGUCUGGGGCACACGAGGCUGUGAAUAGUGCCUGAAUAAAUGAAUGAACAAAGAAACUCGCUCCCGCUUGUGCACAGUCCAGGAGCUUUGCCCCAACUAGUGCUGUCACAAGUCAUGUGACAACAACCAGGGGAAUGUUCCCAUUAACAGAGACGGUGGGACGCCAAGGCAUGCUCCCACCUCCAGCCUCCCAUCAUUGUUGUAACAUCUUUGGACACCUCCCUCCUUCUCCCAAGGAAAGCCACAGCCCUGUGAGUGACCAGAGGCAACAGAACAAAGACCGGAUUCUCAGUUUCCUGAUUCCCUCGCACAGCACGGUCUCUCUGCAGGGAGUCUGGGAAUCCUGACACUGCCUGGAUGGAGUGUCCACACCAGUGGCUAAAGAGACAAGGUCGCUGGUUGUGUCGCCCGGAGUGGAGUCAAUGGUGUAAUCAUAGUUCACUGCAGUCUCAAACUCCUGGGCUCAAGCAAUCAUCCCACCUCAGCCUCCCAAGUAGCUAGGACUACAGGGGUGGGUCACCAUGCCCAAC
This 880-nucleotide long non-coding RNA is filed under the name Homo sapiens (human). RNAcentral describes it as "HSALNT0143086". The record is from RNAcentral. Lineage: Eukaryota; Metazoa; Chordata; Mammalia; Primates; Hominidae.